RNAcentral lists this ribosomal RNA (497 nucleotides) under uncultured bacterium. Its description in RNAcentral is "partial 16S ribosomal RNA". It matches the Rfam family "Bacterial small subunit ribosomal RNA", at positions 28 to 507 of the family's 1533-position model. The record is from RNAcentral.
GACGAACGCUGGCGGCGUGCCUAAUACAUGCAAGUUGAGCGCUGAAGGUUGGUACUUGUACCGACUGGAUGAGCAGCGAACGGGUGAGUAACGCGUGGGGAAUCUGCCUUUGAGCGGGGGACAACAUUUGGAAACGAAUGCUAAUACCGCAUAAAAACUUUAAACACAAGUUUUAAGUUUGAAAGAUGCAAUUGCAUCACUCAAAGAUGAUCCCGCGUUGUAUUAGCUAGUUGGUGAGGUAAAGGCUCACCAAGGCGAUGAUACAUAGCCGACCUGAGAGGGUGAUCGGCCACAUUGGGACUGGGACACGGCCCAAACUCCUACGGGAGGCAGCAGUAGGGAAUCUUCGGCAAUGGACGAAAGUCUGACCGAGCAACGCCGCGUGAGGGAAGAAGGGUUUCGGAUCGUAAAACUCUGUUGGUAGAGAAGAACGUUGGUGAGAGUGGAAAGCUCAUCAAGUGACGGUAACUACCCAGAAAGGGACGGCUAACUACGUG